This 108-nucleotide microRNA precursor is filed under the name Glycine soja. RNAcentral's name for it is "mir-399 microRNA precursor family". It matches the Rfam family "mir-399 microRNA precursor family". From Rfam's summary of the family: mir-399 was identified in both Arabidopsis thaliana and Oryza sativa computationally and was later experimentally verified. mir-399 is thought to target mRNAs coding for a phosphatase transporter. The mature sequence is excised from the 3' arm of the hairpin. The record is from Rfam by way of RNAcentral. Lineage: Eukaryota; Viridiplantae; Streptophyta; Magnoliopsida; Fabales; Fabaceae.
AGGUGCAUUACUGGGCAAUGACUUAUUUGGCAGUUGAAUUGACCAUUCAGGCCAUGAACCAGAGAAGCUAUGUUUACCGCCAAAGAAGAUUUGCCCGGCAAUUCAUCC